GUGGGGAAUAUUGGACAAUGGGCGCAAGCCUGAUCCAGCCAUGCCGCGUGAGUGAUGAAGGCCCUAGGGUUGUAAAGCUCUUUCAGUGGGGACGAUAAUGACGGUACCCACAGAAGAAGCCCCGGCUAACAUCGUGCCAGCAGCCGCGGUAAUACGAAGGGGGCUAGCGUUGUUCGGAUUUACUGGGCGUAAAGCGCACGUAGGCGGAUCGUUAAGUCGAGGGUGAAAUCCUGGAGCUCAAAUCCAGAACUGCCUUCGAUACUGGCGAUCUUGAGUGCGGAAGAGGUGAGUGGAACUCCUAGGGUAGAGGUGGAAGUCGUAGAUAUUAGGAAGAACACCAGUGGCGAAGGCGGCUCACUGGUCCGGUACUGACGCUGAGGUGCGAAAGCGUGGGGAGCAAACAGGAUUAGAUACCCGAGUAGUCC
Molecule: ribosomal RNA, 425 nt
Filed under: uncultured bacterium
Lineage: Bacteria
Description: partial 16S ribosomal RNA
Rfam family: Bacterial small subunit ribosomal RNA
Source: RNAcentral